CUGCGGGCCGGCCCUCGGGCUCCGGCCGCCGGAUCCUUCUGGGACCCGAACCCGCAAAUCCUGGCUCCCUCUCCCCAGCCCGCAGACUCCCCAGAGCCCGCCGCUCGCUACCAUCACUGCCUCGGUCCAGAUCGGGCGGCGAAGCGGGUGCCCGUCGGCGGCCGAGCGGCGAUCCCAUCCCUGGUCGCCCCCUUCCUCCCGGGAAAUGACCCUGGGCUCCCACGCACCGGCUCGGGUCUCUCCCGGCCUUGCCCUCCGACCUCCGCCUAGUUAGCCCCUCUGCCCCUCAGCCCCCGCCCUCCCCGGGCCUCGCACGGCCCCGUGCCCGCGGACAAAGCUCCGGACAUCGGACCGCACAGUCGCCACCCCCUGACCCCCGGCCGGCCCGCGCGCUCCCGCGCCUGCCCCCUCCCGGGCCUGCGACGCGUACCUCGGCAUCCCGGCCGGGUCCUAGGUCUCCAUGGCCAGGAGUUCAUCUGGAAGAAGCAAUACUUCUGAGAGUUACAGAAACAUUUUAAGAUGGAUUGGUAUCUGCUAUCCUGGCCAGGAGGCUCACAAGGC
RNAcentral lists this long non-coding RNA (561 nucleotides) under Cricetulus griseus (Chinese hamster). Its description in RNAcentral is "lncRNA (ENSCGRG00015036113.1)". Lineage: Eukaryota; Metazoa; Chordata; Mammalia; Rodentia; Cricetidae. The record is from RNAcentral.